RNAcentral lists this ribosomal RNA (253 nucleotides) under uncultured bacterium. RNAcentral describes it as "partial 16S ribosomal RNA". It matches the Rfam family "Bacterial small subunit ribosomal RNA", at positions 524 to 776 of the family's 1533-position model. The record is from RNAcentral.
UACGUAGGGGGCAAGCGUUGUCCGGAAUCAUUGGGCGUAAAGAGCGCGUAGGUGGUCCGAUAAGUCGGCUGUGAAAGUCAGGGGCUCAACCCUUGAAAGCCGGCCGAUACUGUCGGACUAGAGUUCGGAAGAGGCGAGUGGAAUUCCCGGUGUAGCGGUGAAAUGCGCAGAUAUCGGGAGGAACACCAAUGGCGAAGGCAGCUCGCUGGGACGUGACUGACGCUGAGGCGCGAAAGCGUGGGGAGCAAACAGG